Molecule: long non-coding RNA, 522 nt
Organism: Prunus persica (peach)
Lineage: Eukaryota; Viridiplantae; Streptophyta; Magnoliopsida; Rosales; Rosaceae
Exons: 2
Source: RefSeq, a predicted model, not a curated record
UCUGUGGUGCGCCGGGUGUACCUGUACAGCCCAUCACGUGGCCUUUUUUUAAAAACAAUGAAAACUGGUUCUUUUGGUUAACCAGUUAAACUAAGGAAAAUAAAAACUCCCGCUCGUUCAAAACCUAGGCUGCACACAGAUCGAUUUCGUCUAUCUCCUCCUCCAUAGCUUUGCACAGCCACAGCUCUAUUUCGGUGAAUUCAUAGCUGCACAGCUUCCUACAGCCUGAAGAAGCUCCCCCCACUUCGUCUUCUCCAUCUGAGGAGCAGAUUUCAGCCAAAACCCAGAAACCCACUUCGUCUUCUCCAGCUGCUUCCUCCAUCUCGUUAUGGAAGCUCAAAAAAGGGGAUCAACAAAAGGAAAGCGCAAAGUCGACAGUAAUGUGCAACAAUCAAGAGUUGGCCAGGAUGCAUUUUUUAAUUUCAUGUAAGUUACACGUACAUCUAAAAAUCGAAAAUGUAGUUGCUUAAUAUUAUGAUGGUUUUUUGAUUAAAAAUAAAUGAUUUACAAAAAAAAAAAAAA